This 237-nucleotide ribosomal RNA is filed under the name uncultured cyanobacterium. RNAcentral describes it as "partial 16S ribosomal RNA". It matches the Rfam family "Bacterial small subunit ribosomal RNA", at positions 107 to 362 of the family's 1533-position model. Lineage: Bacteria; Bacillati; Cyanobacteriota. The record is from RNAcentral.
UGAGUAACGCGUGAGAAUCUGCCUUCAGGUUCGGGACAACCACUGGAAACGGUGGCUAAUACCGGAUGUGCCUUACAGUAAAAGAUUUAUCGCCUGAAGAUGAGCUCGCGUCUGAUUAGCUAGUUGGUAAGGUAAAGGCUUACCAAGGCGACGAUCAGUAGCUGGUCUGAGAGGAUGACCAGCCACACUGGGACUGAGACACGGCCCAGACUCCUACGGGAGGCAGCAGGGGGGAAU